RNAcentral lists this ribosomal RNA (484 nucleotides) under uncultured bacterium. RNAcentral describes it as "partial 16S ribosomal RNA". It matches the Rfam family "Bacterial small subunit ribosomal RNA", at positions 30 to 507 of the family's 1533-position model. The record is from RNAcentral.
AUUGAACGCUGGCGGCAGGCCUAACACAUGCAAGUCGAGCGGAAGAAGGGAGCUUGCUCCUGGAUUCAGCGGCGGACGGGUGAGUAAUGCCUAGGAAUCUGCCUGGCAGUGGGGGAUAACGUCCGGAAACGGGCGCUAAUACCGCAUAAGUGCUGAGGGAGAAAGUGGGGGGUCUUUGGACCUCACGCUAUCAGAUGAGCCUAGGUCGGAUUAGCUAGUUGGUGGGGUAAAGGCCUACCAAGGCGACGAUCCGUAACUGGUCUGCGAGGCUGAUCAGCCACCCUGGAACUUGGACACGCACCAGACUCCUACGGUAGGCAGCAGUGGGGAAUAUUGGACAGAAGGCGAAAACCUGGUCCAGCCAUGCCGCGUGUGUGAAGAAGGUCUUCGGAUUGUAAAGCACUUUAAGUUGGGAGGAAGGGCAGUAAGCUAAGACCUUGCUGUUUUGACGGUAACAACAGAAUAAGCACCGGCUAACUACGUG